GUGUGUGUGUGUGUGUGUGUGUGUGUGAGUGUGUGUGUGUGUGUGUGAGUGUGUGUGUGUGUGUGAGUGUGUGUGUGUGUGAGUGUGUGUGUGAGUGUGUGUGUGUGUGAGUGUGUGUGAGUGUGUGUGUGUGUGUGUGCGUGUGUGUGCGUGUGUGAGUGUGUGUGCGUGUGUGUGUGUGUGUGUGUAGGGAGGGUCAGUUAUGAGUGGUCUUUUAGAAGUUUCUGUAACUUUCAUUUCACACUCUGGAGAUUUUCCUCGUGCUAUAAGAUGUCAGCGUGUGUUUUCUCCUCGUUACUCACUGCACUGUGUCUGGGACUGUAUGGAAAAUAUACAUAUGCAGGAGCAUGUACAGAUCCUUUUCUCUCUCCGGCGUCUCUGCUGGUGGAGUAUGGAAGCCCUGCUGAAGUGAACUGCUCCAUACCGAACAAACCUGUGACGCAGUACAAGCUGGGCUGGGAGUCUAAAACCUCACAGCCUAUAACAGACAAUGAGACGAGUGUUGUGUGGAAGCUGGACAGACUGACGAAGUGGGAGGAAGCUGAAAGACUCGGAUGUUUCUUCACAGUGGGAGCUACUCAAUGUGUGAGCUAUGUAAAUCUCACCAUUUACAAGAGGCCAGACAGGGUUACACUGAACUCUGUGUCUGAUGUGGUGGCAGAGGGAGAUCAGACAGAGCUGAGGUGUGAGAUUGAGAACGUCGGACCUGGAGGUAACCUCAGUGUGCACUGGAGCAGAGCGGAUCCCAAGCAAGACAACACUUUCACACGAUUCACUCACACGUCCUUCCCAGACUUGGUAAAUGAGAUGCAGAGUGUUAACAAGACAGUGAAUCUAACCGUCACACCCAGCCGUGAGGACGCUGGAGUUCAGUAUCAGUGUGCAGCUGUGCUGAAUCUGGACCAACAUCUGCUCGUGUUCCCAUCACAACCAGUCACCAUCACUGUACACUCUGGGAAACCGUCACUCAUCCCUAUCUGGAGCGCGAUCGCUAUAGUGUUAAUGUUCGCUGUGGUCAGCUUUCAGUGCUGGAUAUAUUUCCAAUACCCACACAUGGGUCGUGCUACAUCCUGAAACACCUGGUCCUGCAGGAACAACGGCUAUGUCGACCACAAUGCUGCAGACCAAGGACAACUGUAGAUACUGAUGAGAAUACUUGAAGGGGUGACAUACCAGUGCUAGCUUUGAACAGGGAUUUGUGUCCGUACUCGAUUCAGGAUAGCUGGGAGCUCCAGGUUGAGGGAUAUCUGGCUGUGACACAUCAAAGCACUGCUUCCAACUCCUGAUUGGCCUGUUCCAACAGACCAUUGCAAGUCCAAGGCAAUGUGGGACCAGGGGCAGCUGGGACCUAGCAAGGGACAAUGCAGUCCAACAGGUCUGCACCUCUGGUGCACACUGAGCAAGUAGAGAUGAAAAACCAGAUGUAGUGUCACAUCAAAAGACCUAACAUGCAACUGGAACCGGGGUUACACGCGAAUGGGGAGGAGUGCCUAGUCCCUAAUGAAGCAGCAGUAAAAGUUAGCAAACCCCAGGAACCAUUGUAGCUUCAGGGUGGUGUGUCUGGGCCACUUGGUGAUGGCCAGAAUCUUCUCGGAAUCAGCCUGCACCCACUGGCUCUUCAACCACCAGCUUUUCCGCUUUUCACAAGCAGGUGAUUCUCUAGCAGCCAUUGCAGGACCUGACGGACAUGGAGGAUGUGCUCAGUGGGGGUGCGAGAAAAGAUCAAGAUAUCAUCUAUAUACACAAAAACAAAGCAAUUCAGAAAGUCUCUGUGGACAUCAUUCACCAGGGCGUGGAACACUGCUGGGGCAUUGGUGAGGCCAAAGGGCAUGACCAAGUACUGGAAGUGGCCCAGGAGUGUGUUAAACACCGUCUUUCACUUAUCCCCAUCUCUGAUCCUGACCAGGUGGUAUGCAUUUCACAGGUAUAACUUGGUAAAGAUAGUGGCCCUAUAGAGUGGCUCAAACACCAAGCUGAGGAGAGGCAGGGGUUACUUAUUUUUAACAGUGAUGCUGUUCAAGCUCUGGUAAUCAAUACAAGGAAAGAGGAAAUGGUCUUUCUUGGACAUGAAAAAGAAGGGUUUUGUCCUUGCCAAAACCCUCUCCCAGGUCAGGGUACUCAGAGGGCAUGGUUGAGAGGUCAGGGGGCCAAGGCCAGUGGAGGUGGUGUCCAUUGAGAUGGAGGGCAGAUGGAGGGCAAGCGAGGAGCGAGGCUGGUUCUCUCCCUACACCCUUCUCACAUGUGGUGGUCCAGCCUAAUGGUGAGGGAGAUCAGCAAGUCGAGGGUGUCUGACUCAUCCUUAGGGGCCAGUUCAUCCUACACCUGUUCGUUGAGCUCACUCAGGAACACCCCCUGGAGUGCUGCCUCAUUCCAGCUACACUCAGUGGCCAGGAUGCGGAAGUCCAGAAUAUUCUGCCACAAUGUGGGACCACUAGCAAAGGGAGAACAGACAUUUGGCAGCCUCCUUCAAUUGGACGGGGUAGUCAAACACCCUCUGUAGCUUAAUGUUGAAGGAGGACACAGGGGCUGGCUGUCACAACCCAGGCCAAGUCAUCUCCCCUUAGCAGCCCCAUUAUGUAGGAGACCUUGGCUUCAUUGAUGGCAUAUGUCAGCAGGCACUGGCCAAACAUAAGUUGCAUUGGAGGAGAAAUGAUUUCUCUAAAUCAACUGUGUAGGUUUCAGGGUAUGGAACAUGCACACCAUGGAAGCCAUAGGGCUGGGACAGGGAGCAGGGGAGGCUGAAGGGAUGGCCUGACUGGGCUGGGGGUUAGGGGGCAUUUAGACCAUUUGGGAGGGGAUGCAAUUAAGGUGCUGGUCAAGGAGCCUUAUCUAGCUCACACACUGAAACAAGAAGGAAAGAUAAACACUGGAAGCACAAGGAACUCAACAAAGGAAAAGUGGAAGAUUUUAAACUGGCCAAGUCAAUCACAUUACCUUAACUUAACUGAUCAGCAUUUCACCUCCUGAAGAGGAGACUAAAUCCAACAACUGAAAGAAGCUGCGGUAAAAGCUGGAAAAUCAUCACAAAGAAGAAACCAACAGUUUGGUGAUGUCAGUGAGUCGCAGGCUUGAUGCAGUUAUUGCAAAAAGGGGAUAUGCCUCCAAAUAUUAAGUGUUAUUUACUUUAAGACGAUCUGUUCCAAUAUAUUUUGCUCACCUAAAAAUUGGGGGGUCUGCCACCAAAAAUGCCAAGUUGUUUAACACGUCUAGAUGUAAAUAUCAGUUGCUAUAUGACUGAUAGAAGCUGAUGUUCAGUUGAUCUGCUAACGUUUCUUUGAUGUUGUGUAAUCACAACGUGCUCACAUCGUCAUUUAGUCUCGAGACGUAACGAAGAUAGGGACGGAUGCAAAUGCAGUUUUACAGUUUUAUUGAAGAGAAACACAGGCAGGUAAAUCCAAAUUGUAAUCCACAAACAUAAUCCAGAAACAUGAAAGGUCAGGCGAUCGGCAAACAGUCAUAAUCUGCGCAAGGCAUGAACAUUGUCGUGGUCACGGAAAACAGGGUUGAGAUGCAAAACAAGAAACAUAAACAAUAGCGAGGGACUGGGAGCGGAGAAACCAGCGUGGACUAAAUCUAAUAUUUAACCUAAAUAACUCUAACAAGGAACCUAACAUGGAUAUUAACUAUGACUAUGACUAUCUAUGGUAACGAAUCGAAUCUAAACUAAACUUAUCUAAUCUAAUCUAAUAUUCCGCGCCGUCUGCUUGGAGGCGUGUGGCAUAUAUACAAACAUAAUCAGCGACAAUUGCUGACGGCUGACACCAAUUCAGACACACGUGAAAUAACAGCCAAUGACAGAACAGGGAGGAGACAUAACAGAAACAUAACAAAAAGCACGUGCACAAUGUACACAAUGUCACGAUUGUCAACAAACGAAAAGCACCUUGCUCGUGCACGUGUGCCCACAUGC
Ictalurus punctatus (channel catfish) is the source of this 3910-nucleotide RNA transcript. RefSeq lists it as uncharacterized. The record is from RefSeq and is a predicted model, not a curated record. The transcript has 5 exons. Lineage: Eukaryota; Metazoa; Chordata; Actinopteri; Siluriformes; Ictaluridae.